RNAcentral lists this ribosomal RNA (797 nucleotides) under uncultured bacterium. Its description in RNAcentral is "bacterial SSU rRNA". It matches the Rfam family "Bacterial small subunit ribosomal RNA", at positions 8 to 798 of the family's 1533-position model. The record is from RNAcentral.
AGAGUUUGAUCAUGGCUCAGAUUGAACGCUGGCGGCAUGCCUUACACAUGCAAGUCGAACGGCAGCACGGGAGCUUGCUCCUGGUGGCGAGUGGCGAACGGGUGAGUAAUGCAUCGGAACGUGCCCUGAAGUGGGGGAUAACGCAGCGAAAGUUGCGCUAAUACCGCAUAUUCUGUGAGCAGGAAAGCAGGGGAUCGCAAGACCUUGCGCUUUAGGAGCGGCCGAUGUCGGAUUAGCUAGUUGGUGGGGUAAAGGCUCACCAAGGCGACGAUCCGUAGCGGGUCUGAGAGGAUGAUCCGCCACACUGGGACUGAGACACGGCCCAGACUCCUACGGGAGGCAGCAGUGGGGAACUUUGGACAAUGGGCGAAAGCCUGAUCCAGCCAUGCCGCGUGAGUGAAGAAGGCCUUCGGGUUGUAAAGCUCUUUCGGCGGGGAAGAAAUCGCAUUCUCUAAUACAGGAUGUGGAUGACGGUACCCGAAUAAGAAGCACCGGCUAACUACGUGCCAGCAGCCGCGGUAAUACGUAGGGUGCGAGCGUUAAUCGGAAUUACUGGGCGUAAAGCGUGCGCAGGCGGUUUCGUAAGACAGACGUGAAAUCCCCGGGCUCAACCUGGGAACUGCGUUUGUGACUGCGAGGCUAGAGUUUGGCAGAGGGGGGUGGAAUUCCACGUGUAGCAGUGAAAUGCGUAGAGAUGUGGAGGAACACCGAUGGCGAAGGCAGCCCCCUGGGCCAAUACUGACGCUCAUGCACGAAAGCGUGGGGAGCAAACAGGAUUAGAUACCCCGGUAGUCCAA